GAUCAUGGCUCAGGAUGAACGCUGGCGGCGUGCUUAGCACAUGCAAGUCGAACGGAGUUUUAACGGAAGUUUCGGAUGGAAGUUAAGAACUUAGUGGCGGACGGGUGAGUAACGCGUGGGUAACCUGCCUCAUACAGGGGGAUAACAGUUAGAAAUGACUGCUAACACCGCAUAAUAUAGUGAAACCGCAUGAUUAUGCUAUCAAAUAUUUAUAGGUAUGAGAUGGGCCCGCGUCUGAUUAGCUAGUUGGUGGGGUAAAGCCUACCAAGGCGACGAUCAGUAGCCGGCUUGAGAGAGUGACCGGCCACAUUGGGACUGAGACACGGCCCAAACUCCUACGGGAGGCAGCAGUGGGGAAUAUUGGACAAUGGGGAAACCCUGAUCCAGCGAACCGCCGCGUGAGUGAAGAAGUAUUUCGGUAUGUAAAGCUCUAUCAGCAGGGAAGAUAAUGACAGUACCUGACUAAGAAGCCCCGGCUAACUACGUGCCAGCCGCAGC
This 498-nucleotide ribosomal RNA is filed under the name uncultured bacterium. Its description in RNAcentral is "bacterial SSU rRNA". It matches the Rfam family "Bacterial small subunit ribosomal RNA", at positions 15 to 518 of the family's 1533-position model. The record is from RNAcentral.